AUUGAACGCUGGCGGCAGGCCUAACACAUGCAAGUCGAGCGGAUGAAGGGAGCUUGCUCCUGGAUUCAGCGGCGGACGGGUGAGUAAUGCCUAGGAAUCUGCCUGGUAGUGGGGAAUAACGUCCGGAAACGGACGCUAAUACCGCAUACGUCCUGAGGGUGAAAGUGGGGGAUCUUCGGACCUCACGCUAUCAGAUGAUCCUAGGUCGGAUUAGCUAGUUGGUGGGGUAAAGGCCUACCAAGGCGACUAUCCGUAACUGGUCUGAGAGGAUGAUCAGUCACACUGGAACUGAGACACGGUCCAGACUCCUACGGGAGGCAGCAGUCGGGAAUAUUGGGCAAUGGGCGAGAGCCUGAUCCAGCCACGCCGCGUGUGUGAAGAAGGUCUUCGGAUUGUAAAGCACUUUAAGUUGGGAGGAAGGGCCGUAAAUUUAUACCUUGCUAUUUUGACGUUACCAACAGAAAAAGCCCCGGCUAACUUCGUG
This 484-nucleotide ribosomal RNA is filed under the name uncultured bacterium. RNAcentral's name for it is "partial 16S ribosomal RNA". It matches the Rfam family "Bacterial small subunit ribosomal RNA", at positions 30 to 507 of the family's 1533-position model. The record is from RNAcentral.